This 465-nucleotide ribosomal RNA is filed under the name Vreelandella stevensii. RNAcentral's name for it is "partial 16S ribosomal RNA". It matches the Rfam family "Bacterial small subunit ribosomal RNA", at positions 338 to 795 of the family's 1533-position model. The record is from RNAcentral. Lineage: Bacteria; Pseudomonadati; Pseudomonadota; Gammaproteobacteria; Oceanospirillales; Halomonadaceae.
CCUACGGGUGGCAGCAGUGGGGAAUAUUGGACAAUGGGGGGAACCCUGAUCCAGCCAUGCCGCGUGUGUGAAGAAGGCCCUCGGGUUGUAAAGCACUUUCAGUGAGGAAGAACGCCUGGUGGUUAAUACCCAUCAGGAAAGACAUCACUCACAGAAGAAGCACCGGCUAACUCCGUGCCAGCAGCCGCGGUAAUACGGAGGGUGCGAGCGUUAAUCGGAAUUACUGGGCGUAAAGCGCGCGUAGGUGGCUUGAUAAGCCGGUUGUGAAAGCCCUGGGCUCAACCUGGGAACGGCAUCCGGAACUGUCAAGCUAGAGUGCAGGAGAGGAAGGUAGAAUUCCCGGUGUAGCGGUGAAAUGCGUAGAGAUCGGGAGGAAUACCAGUGGCGAAGGCGGCCUUCUGGACUGACACUGACACUGAGGUGCGAAAGCGUGGGUAGCAAACAGGAUUAGAUACCCGAGUAGUC